Molecule: long non-coding RNA, 1303 nt
Organism: Camelina sativa (false flax)
Lineage: Eukaryota; Viridiplantae; Streptophyta; Magnoliopsida; Brassicales; Brassicaceae
Source: RefSeq, a predicted model, not a curated record
UAAACACGCUUACGGUAUGCUUCGCAUUGAUUUUCGUUGUUUGUUUGUUUUUUGCUGUUGGUUUGCUUCUUUUUUUAUAUUUUGCUUAUGACUUGAUUUUUGUAUUGUGAAGUCUGUAUUCACUUCAUGUGUGUUACAAGUUUACUCGGGAUGUCAAAUCACAAUUGGUUCGGAAGAUUACUAAAGUUUUUACAAACAAAUUUGAUGGUCCAUAUUAUAAUUGCUCAUGUGUGCCUCCGGAGAGACGAGAAAGAUACUUGCUCGAGUUUGCGAAAACACACAUUUGAUAACAGGGACAGUGCAACAGCUUUUCUAUGAGAUAUGUCAACGCCGGAUGAAAAACAUGGUUGACGCUAGGAAAAGUCGACUGCGACCUAAAUGGAUCAAGAAUACUCUCUGGAAAAAAAUGGUUGCGCAGUGGGAUACUGAAGAAGCACAUGAAAGGAGUCGAACCUAUUCCAAUGCUCGUAUGUCUGACUGUAAUAGUAUCGGUCCUCACAUGCACUUAUCUGGGCCAAUGUCGUUUUAAAAAGUCAAACAAGGCUUGGUGAGUAACUUAUAUAUAUAUCUGUACUUUAUUUUUCUUACACCUUUGCAACAUUAAUAUAUGUCAUAAGCCUUUCUUUUUUGUGUAACAUUCGAGGAAGAGAAAUUGGGGAGACCGGUGAGUCUUGGUGAGAUUUUUAAAGAGACACAUACAAAGUCAGAUGGUACGUAUGUCGAUCGAAAGGCCCAGAAGACCAUUACAACUUAUGAGAAAAACUUGCAAGCUAAGAUAUCUGAGCUCGAGACAGAUCCUUCACGAGCUCAGCAGCUCACAACAGAAGAUUAUACGACCAUCUUUCUUGAGUACACUAAGAAUGAUUCACGAGGUAAUCUUUAUGGACUUGGAAGCCUCAAGGAUCAUCUUAAGGAUCUUCUCAAUUGCAAGGGAAAUCCACGAGGAGAUUAUUGAUCCUUUGUAGCAUUGCAAGAGCAAAUGAAGGAAAGUCAACAUAUAAUUGAAGAACAAGUUGCGUAUAAUACAAAACAUGAUGCUGAGAUUGCUGCUUGUGAAGCAGAACAUUCCAAAGUUGUGGCUGAGCAAAAGAAGAAGAUACAGCACUUGUCAUUGGUGGAAAAGUACUUGCGCCAAACCGAUCCAGCGUUUGUGGAUUUCCUUGAGUCUGAAUCAAGUGAAACACCCACCGAGGCUCCAACAGAAAGAAAAACUCCUUCUUAGGUUACUUCCUAGGUUACUUCCUAGGUUACUUAUCUAUUUUUUAACUCUCAUGAACUUGUCACUUUAGUGUUCUUAAUAACU